UGAAUACGAGACGCUAAGGCGUCAAAGUAGUGUAUGUCAUACUUCCAAGAAAAGCUUGCACUGUCAUAGAUAAAAAACGCCUGUACCAUAACCGACACAGGUGGGUAGGUAGAGUAUACUAAGGGGCGCGAGAUAACUCUCUUUAAGGAACUCGGCAAAAUAACUCCGUAACUUCGGGAGAAGGAGUGCCUUAUUCUUAAGGUUGCAAUAACAAGAUCCAAGCAACUGUUUAUCAAAAACACAGGUCUCCGCUAAGUCGUAAGACGAUGUAUGGGGGCUGACGCCUGCCCAGUGCCAGAAGGUUAAAGAAGCUGGUUAGCAUUUGCGAAGCUAGUAACUGAAGCCCUGGUGAACGGCGGCCGUAACAAUAACGGUCCUAAGGUAGCGAAAUUCCUUGUCGGGUAAGUUCCGACCCGCACGAAAGGCGUAAUGAUUUGGAUACUGUCUCGGAGAGGGGCUCGGUGAAAUAGACUUGUCUGUGAAGAUGCGGACUACCUGCACCAGGACAGAAAGACCCUAUGAAGCUUUACUGUAACUUGAAAUUGAAACUGGACUUUAUUCGCGCAGUAUAGGUGGGAGGCGUUGAUUAUAAUCUUGCGGGAUUAUUGGAGCCAUUAGUGAGAUACCACUCUUGUAAUGUUAGAUUUCUAACUUUGAAUCAUUAUCUGGUCAAAGAACAGUUUCAGGCGGGCAGUUUGACUGGGGCGGUCGCCUCCUAAACGGUAACGGAGGCGUACAAAGGUUUCCUCUGAACGGUUAGAAAUCGUAUCUAGAGUGUAAAGGCAUAAGGAAGCUUGACUGUGAGACCUACAAGUCGAGCAGGGACGAAAGUCGGUCUUAGUGAUCUGACGGUACUGAGUGGAAAGGCCGUCACUCAACGGAUAAAAGUUACUCUAGGAUAACAGGCUGAUCUCCCCCAAGAGUUCACAUCGACGGGGAGGUUUGGCACCUCGAUGUCGGCUCAUCGCAUCCUGGGGCGGUAGUACGUCCCAAGGGUUGGGCUGUUCGCCCAUGAAAGCGGUACGCGAGCUGGGUUCAGAACGUCGUGAGACAGUUCGGUCCAUAUCCGGUGUAGGCGUUAGAAUAUUGAGAGGAGCCUUCUUUAGUACGAGAGGACCGAGAAGGACAUACCUCUGGUGUACCAGUUAUCGUGCCAACGGUAAACGCUGGGUAGCUAUGUAUGGAGUGGAUAACCGCUGAAAGCAUCUAAGUGGGAAGCCCACCUCAAGAUAAGUAUUCUCA
Molecule: ribosomal RNA, 1242 nt
Filed under: metagenome
Description: bacterial LSU rRNA
Rfam family: Bacterial large subunit ribosomal RNA
Source: RNAcentral